This is a long non-coding RNA of Lathyrus oleraceus (garden pea), 838 nucleotides long. RefSeq lists it as uncharacterized. NCBI's taxonomy places the organism in Eukaryota, Viridiplantae, Streptophyta, Magnoliopsida, Fabales, Fabaceae. The record is from RefSeq and is a predicted model, not a curated record. The transcript has 4 exons.
UAUUUUGUAUUUUAGGACUUUAUUUAUUAUUUAAACCCUAAAGUUUCUUGUGUGUAAAGAGGCAAAGAGAUCCAAUGGGACAAGUGGCCAACUCUUUGUUUCUACACUCAUAACCUUAUUUGCUCUGUUGCUCCUAUUCUUCUUCACCUACUUCAUUCACUGGAAAUAUUAGCUUGGAUUUCAAGUAGCAAAGUGCAGUUUCACUUCAAGAUAUUGAUCUCAAGUUAUUAUAAACUCUAAGAGACUUAAUAUCUGUUGAUUUCAGAAGGAAUACUCAUCUGGGCUUGUGCAGUGGAGAUAGAACCAUGAUGGGCCUUGGGCCCAAACUCACACUACAAGUUUAAUGAAGUUUUUUUCUCAAAAAAAAAUGUUUCAAUUAAAUGUUGUUCAUCAAUAUGGAGCAACUUCAUACAAAGAAUAUUAUAUGUUGAUGCUCUAUUCAUCUUGGUGUUGCUUCUUCAAGGUUGUGAUGGAUAAGUGUGGAAGCAUAUAUGAAAUUUUCAUUGAUGGGUUUUAAAUGAGCUUAUGAAUGAAAAAAGUUAUAAUUAUGAAACCAAAAGAGCCUCUUGUACAGGACAAGGAUAUGAACCUAAGAAAUAUGUUUUUUUGGUGAGUUCCUAUGUUCUUGUGCUGUUGCUGAAGAGAGUUCCCCUUGACAACUUCAAUAUUUGCUGAUCAGUACUCAACUUGAUCAUGACGGCUUUAGUUUAUUUUUGUACUUCAUUAUUGUUGUAAUAGCACUUUUAUGAGUUUAUCUUCAUGAACGAUGUUUGGGACAAGAAGAAUGUAAUAAAUUUUAUAUUGAUGUUUAAUUAAUGUAGUGGGAUAUUAUAUACUA